UCGAGGGGCAGCAUUUCAGUUUGCUUGCAAACUGGAGAUGGCGACCGGCGCACGGGUGAGUAACACGUAUCCAACCUGCCGAUAACUCGGGGAUAGCCUUUCGAAAGAAAGAUUAAUACCCGAUAGUAUAAUUAGACCGCAUGGUCUUAUUAUUAAAGAAUUUCGGUUAUCGAUGGGGAUGCGCUCCAUUAGGCAGUUGGUGAGGUAACGGCUCACCAAACCUUCGAUGGAUAGGGGUUCUGAGAGGAAGGUCCCCCACAUUGGAACUGAGACACGGUCCAAACUCCUACGGGAGGCAGCAGUGAGGAAUAUUGGUCAAUGGGCGCAGGCCUGAACCAGCCAAGUAACGUGAAGGAUGACUGCCCUAUGGGUUGUAAACUUCUUUUAUAUGGGAAUAAAGUUUUCCACGUGUGGAAUUUUGUAUGUACCAUAUGAAUAAGGAUCGGCUAACUCCGUGCCAGCAGCCGCGGUAAUACGGAGGAUCCGAGCGUUAUCCGGAUUUAUUGGGUUUAAAGGGAGCGUAGGUGGACAGUUAAGUCAGUUGUGAAAGUUUGCGGCUCAACCGUAAAAUUGCAGUUGAUACUGGCUGUCUUGAGUACAGUAGAGGUGGGCGGAAUUCGUGGUGUAGCGGUGAAAUGCUUAGAUAUCACGAAGAACUCCGAUUGCGAAGGCAGCUCACUGGACUGCAACUGACACUGAUGCUCGAAAGUGUGGGUAU
This 718-nucleotide ribosomal RNA is filed under the name uncultured Bacteroidales bacterium. Its description in RNAcentral is "bacterial SSU rRNA". It matches the Rfam family "Bacterial small subunit ribosomal RNA", at positions 62 to 768 of the family's 1533-position model. The record is from RNAcentral. Lineage: Bacteria; Pseudomonadati; Bacteroidota; Bacteroidia; Bacteroidales.